AAAUUGCUUUUAGGAGUUCACAGCAUUUUGAAACCGGGACACUUGACAUGGAAAAGUGAACAUGUUAACCUGAAGUAAAGGUUUAGAACAAAUUGUUUUUGUGAAGUGUCAUUUAUACAAAGAGCUGAUUAAAAAGAAAAAAAAAAAAAAAAAAGGAAAAAAGGCCCUGAAUGAGAAGAACACAACAGAAGAAAACUUCCAGUGUGAUUCAGUAACACUUCCAAUGUAAUGCUGGGCUACAAACAACCUGCAAAAAUUGGGACCUUGCAAACACCUAUCAACAUUCAUAUAACUGAAGACCAGUUUUUUAAAACGGAGAGCUUUCCCUACUGACUUACUAAAAGGUAUCUAUGUUAGUAGUGGUUUUAGAACUGUCUGCUCCAUCAACUUCUCAACACACUGCACCUGAUCCCAGGUACUUGGGCAACACAACCAACGACAGGCUGCAAGGCAGAAUUGUUGCCAAGUAUGCAAUCCGAAGAAUAAUGAAACAUGCAGGAGUUUAAAGUUCACAGACAGCACAAAUUUCUGGCAUGUAAGAAAGUUUUAAAAGGGGGUUCCAAGCCAAACCAGUGCCAAGGAAGAAGCAAGCUCAUGGAAGAGCAGAGUAUGUGGCUGGCAGUACUUCUGAACUCAACUUUGAGAGAUUUUUGACACACUCUCUCCAGCUUAACUGCAGCAGAACUCAGUGGUCAGGAUGCUCUGCAGGAGGAGUUACAUUAGAAAAGGACAAGACCUGCCCAGAUGAACACAGGCACCCCUGGGAUGUUCCCUCUGUUCACCUUUGGAGUGUCAGUGGUCUGGGAUUGCUUCUGGGGAUGCUGCUCUCAAGGAGUCAGGAUUGCCCCGGCCACUUAUCCCAGACCUCUUUCUGCAAGAUGCUUCUUCUUCUCAUCAGAAACAGAGCAAUAGCGGAAAUACUCAGCCACAACAUCAGAUAUGUGCCAGUGAGCCCCAGAUGA
RNAcentral lists this long non-coding RNA (962 nucleotides) under Cyanistes caeruleus (blue tit). RNAcentral's name for it is "lncRNA (ENSCCEG00000020364.1)". The record is from RNAcentral. Lineage: Eukaryota; Metazoa; Chordata; Aves; Passeriformes; Paridae.